CGAAGGUGGCAAGCGUUGUUCGGAUUUACUGGGCGUACAGGGAGCGUAGGCGGUUGGAUAAGCCCUCCGUGAAAUCUCCAGGCUUAACCUGGAAAGUGCAGAGGGGACUGUUCAGCUAGAGGAUGGGAGAGGAGCGCGGAAUUCCCGGUGUAGCGGCGAAAUGCGUAGAGAUCGGGAGGAAGGCCGGUGGCGAAGGCGGCGCUCUGGAACAUUUCUGACGCUGAGGCUCGAAAGCGUGGGGAGCAAACAGGAUUAGAUACCCUGGUAGUCCACGCCUUAAACGAUGGAUACUAAGUGUCGGCGGGUUACCGCCGGUGCCGCAGCUAACGCAGUAAGUAUCCCGCCUGGGAAGUACGGCCGCAAGGUUGA
This 369-nucleotide ribosomal RNA is filed under the name uncultured organism. RNAcentral's name for it is "bacterial SSU rRNA". It matches the Rfam family "Bacterial small subunit ribosomal RNA", at positions 526 to 897 of the family's 1533-position model. The record is from RNAcentral.